GCAACUCGCCUACACGAAGCUGGAAUCGCUAGUAAUCGCGGAUCAGCACGCCGCGGUGAAUACGUUCCCGGGCCUUGUACACACCGCCCGUCACACCAUGAGAGUCUGUAACACCCAAAGCCGGUGGGAUAACCUUUAUAGGAGUCAGCCGUCUAAGGUAGGACAGAUGAUUAGGGUGAAGUCGUAACAAGGUAGC
This 196-nucleotide ribosomal RNA is filed under the name uncultured bacterium. RNAcentral describes it as "partial 16S ribosomal RNA". It matches the Rfam family "Bacterial small subunit ribosomal RNA", at positions 1307 to 1500 of the family's 1533-position model. The record is from RNAcentral.